GUGCUCACUUUGGCAGCACAUAAAAUAAAAUUGGAAUGAUACAGAGAAGAUUAAUGAAGCUCUUGUGCAAGGAUGACAUGAAGAUUUGUGAAGCAAAUGAAAAAACC
This is a small nuclear RNA of Monodelphis domestica (gray short-tailed opossum), 107 nucleotides long. The record is from Ensembl. NCBI's taxonomy places the organism in Eukaryota, Metazoa, Chordata, Mammalia, Didelphimorphia, Didelphidae.